GUCUGCGGCCAUACCACCCUGAACAAACACGAUCUUGUCUGAUCUCGGAAGCUAAGUAGGGUUGGACCUGGUUAGUACUUGGAUGGGAGAAAUUGGAAAGUCACUGUUC
This 109-nucleotide ribosomal RNA is filed under the name Erinaceus europaeus (western European hedgehog). Lineage: Eukaryota; Metazoa; Chordata; Mammalia; Eulipotyphla; Erinaceidae. The record is from RNAcentral.